AACACCCUCAGUUCCUAUUCUCUUUUGAGAGUUAGGGACUGGACUUGAGCAGUCCCAACGUCAGAAGACUUGUUCUACUGUCGGCGGGUUGCUUAAAAUGCAGGUGCGGCAGGACACAUCUUCUGAGCUAAAAGCAUUACUUAUUUAGUCCCGUCAGACGGACUAUUACUAUUGCUGCAGCUAAGAUAUUAAAGGUCGAUUGUCCUUAUUGCCCGACUGAUGCAGGAAUUGUCAGAGGACUCUUUGUCCUCUGUUCA
RNAcentral lists this unclassified non-coding RNA (257 nucleotides) under uncultured eukaryote. RNAcentral's name for it is "partial internal transcribed spacer 2". The record is from RNAcentral. RNAcentral also lists the same sequence under 1 other name.